UUUUCAGUUGGUCCAAAUCAGGAUCUAAAAUUAUUAUAUUAAGUAUUGUGCAAUAGCAAGUCUUUUCAAUUGCACAGUAUUGCGCAAUGGCAAGAAAUAUCUAAUUGCACAAUAUUGUGAAAUAGAAAUUUUUUUUUUAAUUAGAGUUAUCUUUCUUUGUCCAGAAUAAUAAGCAAGAAAUAUCUAAUUGCAAAAUAUUGUGCAAUAG
This 208-nucleotide long non-coding RNA is filed under the name Mytilus galloprovincialis (Mediterranean mussel). The record is from RNAcentral. Lineage: Eukaryota; Metazoa; Mollusca; Bivalvia; Mytilida; Mytilidae.